Molecule: ribosomal RNA, 2351 nt
Filed under: Klebsiella pneumoniae
Lineage: Bacteria; Pseudomonadati; Pseudomonadota; Gammaproteobacteria; Enterobacterales; Enterobacteriaceae
Description: bacterial LSU rRNA
Rfam family: Bacterial large subunit ribosomal RNA
Source: RNAcentral
GGGUUGUGAGGUUAAGCGACUAAGCGUACACGGUGGAUGCCCUGGCAGUCAGAGGCGAUGAAGGACGUGCUAAUCUGCGAAAAGCGUCGGUAAGGUGAUAUGAACCGUUACAGCCGGCGAUGUCCGAAUGGGGAAACCCAGUGCAAUUCGUUGCACUAUCGUUAACUGAAUACAUAGGUUAACGAGGCGAACCGGGGGAACUGAAACAUCUAAGUACCCCGAGGAAAGAAAUCAACCGAGAUUCCCCCAGUAGCGGCGAGCGAACGGGGAGCAGCCCAGAGUCUGAAUCAGCUGUGUGUUAGUGGAACGGUCUGGAAAGUCCGACGGUACAGGGUGAUAGUCCCGUACACCAAAAUGCACAGGCUGUGAACUCGAAGAGUAGGGCGGGACACGUGGUAUCCUGUCUGAAUAUGGGGGACCAUCCUCCAAGGCUAAAUACUCCUGACUGACCGAUAGUGAACCAGUACCGUGAGGGAAAGGCGAAAGAACCCCGGCGAGGGGAGUGAAAAGAACCUGAAACCGUGUACGUACAAGCAGUGGGAGCACCUUCGGGUGUGACUGCGUACCUUUGUAUAAUGGGUCAGCGACUUAUAUUCUGUAGCAAGGUUAACCGUAUAGGGGAGCCGCAGGGAAACCGAGUCUUAACUGGGCGUUAAGUUGCAGGGUAUAGACCCGAAACCCGGUGAUCUAGCCAUGGGCAGGUUGAAGGUUGGGUAACACUAACUGGAGGACCGAACCGACUAAUGUUGAAAAUUAGCGGAUGACUUGUGGCUGGGGUGAAAGGCCAAUCAAACCGGGAGAUAGCUGGUUCUCCCCGAAAGCUAUUUAGGUAGCGCCUCGUGAACUCAUCUUCGGGGUAGAGCACUGUUUCGGGGGGGUCAUCCCGACUUACCAACCCGAUGCAAACUACGAAUACCGAAGAAUGUUAUCACGGGAGACACACGGCGGGUGCUAACGUCCGUCGUGAAGAGGGAAACAACCCAGACCGCCAGCUAAGGUCCCAAAGUCAUGGUUAAGUGGGAAACGAUGUGGGAAGGCACAGACAGCCAGGAUGUUGGCUUAGAAGCAGCCAUCAUUUAAAGAAAGCGUAAUAGCUCACUGGUCGAGUCGGCCUGCGCGGAAGAUGUAACGGGGCUAAACCAUGCACCGAAGCUGCGGCAGCGACACUAUGUGUUGUUGGGUAGGGGAGCGUUCUGUAAGCCUGCGAAGGUGACCUGUGAGGGUUGCUGGAGGUAUCAGAAGUGCGAAUGCUGACAUAAGUAACGAUAAAGCGGGUGAAAAGCCCGCUCGCCGGAAGACCAAGGGUUCCUGUCCAACGUUAAUCGGGGCAGGGUGAGUCGACCCCUAAGGCGAGGCCGAAAGGCGUAGUCGAUGGGAAACAGGUUAAUAUUCCUGUACUUGGUGUUACUGCGAAGGGGGGACGGAGAAGGCUAUGUUAGCCGGGCGACGGUUGUCCCGGUUUAAGCAUGUAGGCUGGUUGUCCAGGCAAAUCCGGAUAAUCAAGGCUGAGGUGUGAUGACGAGGCACUACGGUGCUGAAGUAACAAAUGCCCUGCUUCCAGGAAAAGCCUCUAAGCAUCAGGUAACAUCAAAUCGUACCCCAAACCGACACAGGUGGUCAGGUAGAGAAUACCAAGGCGCUUGAGAGAACUCGGGUGAAGGAACUAGGCAAAAUGGUGCCGUAACUUCGGGAGAAGGCACGCUGGUGUGUAGGUGAAGUCCCUGCGGAUGGAGCUGAGACCAGUCGAAGAUACCAGCUGGCUGCAACUGUUUAUUAAAAACACAGCACUGUGCAAACACGAAAGUGGACGUAUACGGUGUGACGCCUGCCCGGUGCCGGAAGGUUAAUUGAUGGGGUUAUCCGUAAGGAGAAGCUCUUGAUCGAAGCCCCGGUAAACGGCGGCCGUAACUAUAACGGUCCUAAGGUAGCGAAAUUCCUUGUCGGGUAAGUUCCGACCUGCACGAAUGGCGUAAUGAUGGCCAGGCUGUCUCCACCCGAGACUCAGUGAAAUUGAACUCGCUGUGAAGAUGCAGUGUACCCGCGGCAAGACGGAAAGACCCCGUGAACCUUUACUAUAGCUUGACACUGAACAUUGAGCCUUGAUGUGUAGGAUAGGUGGGAGGCUUUGAAGCGUGGACGCCAGUCUGCGUGGAGCCAACCUUGAAAUACCACCCUUUAAUGUUUGAUGUUCUAACGUUGGCCCCUUACCGGGGUUGCGGACAGUGUCUGGUGGGUAGUUUGACUGGGGCGGUCUCCUCCAAGCGUAACGGAGGAGCACGAAGGUUAGCUAAUCCUGGUCGGACAUCAGGAGGUUAGUGCAAUGGCAUAAGCUAGCUUGACUGCGUGACGGC